Molecule: transfer RNA, 71 nt
Filed under: Salix viminalis (osier)
Lineage: Eukaryota; Viridiplantae; Streptophyta; Magnoliopsida; Malpighiales; Salicaceae
Source: RNAcentral
GAACCAGUGGUCUAGUGGCUGUACAGUACCCUGCCACGGUCCAGACCCGGGUUCAAAUCCCGGGUGAUGCA